This 533-nucleotide ribosomal RNA is filed under the name Erysiphe coriariigena. RNAcentral's name for it is "eukaryotic LSU rRNA". It matches the Rfam family "Eukaryotic large subunit ribosomal RNA", at positions 102 to 651 of the family's 3401-position model. The record is from RNAcentral. Lineage: Eukaryota; Fungi; Ascomycota; Leotiomycetes; Helotiales; Erysiphaceae.
UACCAGCUCAAAGUUGAGAUCUGGCUCGGUCGGAGUCCGAGUUGUACUGUGGAGAAGAUGCUGUGGCUUGUGGGUUCGGCCUAAGUCCCUCGGAACAGGACGUCAUAGAGGGUGAGACUCCCGUAUGUGGCCAAGGCCUGCGCCCGUGUAAAGCUCUUUCGACGAGUCGAGUUGUAUGGGAAUGCAGCUCAAAAUGGGUGGUAAAUAUCGGCUAAAUAUGGACCAGAGACCGAUAGCGAACAAGUAGAGUGAUCGAAAGAUGAGCAGCACUGUGGAAAGAGAGUGACACAGUACGUGAGAAUGUUGAAAGGGAAGCGCUUGCAACCAGACUUGGGCGCUGCUGAUCAUCCAGAGUUCUCUCUGGUGCACUGGACAGCGCACAGGCCAGCAUCGGAUCGGAUGGCUGGAGAAAGACCGGAGGAACGUAGCUCCCUCUCGGGGGAGUGUUAUAGCCUCUGGUGCCAUACAGCCCAGCCGGACCGAGGACCGCGCCUUCGGGCUAGGAUGCUGGCGUAAUGGUUGUAAGCGACCCG